UAGCUCAGAUGGUAAAGCACCUGCCUGCAAUGCAGGAGACCCAGGUUUAAUGCCUGG
Molecule: transfer RNA, 57 nt
Filed under: Bos taurus (domestic cattle)
Lineage: Eukaryota; Metazoa; Chordata; Mammalia; Artiodactyla; Bovidae
Also listed under: 2 other names
Rfam family: tRNA
About the family: Transfer RNA (tRNA) molecules are approximately 80 nucleotides in length. Their secondary structure includes four short double-helical elements and three loops (D, anti-codon, and T loops).
Source: Rfam by way of RNAcentral